AUACGGAGGGUGCAAGCGUUAAUCGGAAUUACUGGGCGUAAAGCGCGCGUAGGCGGAUAUUUAAGUCUCAUGUGAAAGCCCUGGGCUCAACCUGGGAACUGCAUGGGAUACUGGGUAUCUAGAAUACAGUAGAGGGUAGUGGAAUUUCAGGUGUAGCGGUGAAAUGCGUAGAGAUCUGAAGGAACAUCAGUGGCGAAGGCGACUACCUGGACUGAUAUUGACGCUGAGGUGCGAAAGCGUGGGGAGCAAACGGUAUUAGAAACCCCAGUAGUCC
RNAcentral lists this ribosomal RNA (274 nucleotides) under uncultured bacterium. RNAcentral describes it as "partial 16S ribosomal RNA". It matches the Rfam family "Bacterial small subunit ribosomal RNA", at positions 523 to 796 of the family's 1533-position model. The record is from RNAcentral.